Molecule: ribosomal RNA, 420 nt
Filed under: uncultured bacterium
Lineage: Bacteria
Description: bacterial SSU rRNA
Rfam family: Bacterial small subunit ribosomal RNA
Source: RNAcentral
UGGGGAAUAUUGCACAAUGGGGAAGACCUUGAUGCAGCGACGCCGCGUGAGUGAAGAAGUAUUUCGGUAUGUAAAGCUCUGUCAGCAGGGAAGAAAUUGACGGUACCUGACCAAGAAGCCCCGGCUAACUACGUGCCAGCAGCCGCGGUAAUACGUAGGGGGCAAGCGUUAUCCGGAUUUACUGGGUGUAAAGGGAGCGCAGGCGGUUCUGCAAGUCUGGUGUGAAAGCCCGGGGCUCAACCCCAGGGCACUGCAUUGGAAACUGCGGGACUUGAGUGUCGGAGGGGCCAAAGGUGGAAUUCCUAGUGUAGCGGUGAAAUGCGUAGAUAUUAGGAGGAACACCAGUGGCGAAGGCGGCUUGCUGGACGACAACUGACGCUGAGGCUCGAAAGCGUGGGGAGCAAACAGGAUUAGAUACCC